GGUUGUGGCUCAGUGGUAGAGCGCUUGCCUCGCAUGUGUGAAGUCCUGGGUUCAUUCCCUAGCACCA
RNAcentral lists this transfer RNA (67 nucleotides) under Marmota monax (woodchuck). Its description in RNAcentral is "tRNA.Ala". It matches the Rfam family "tRNA". Rfam says of the family: Transfer RNA (tRNA) molecules are approximately 80 nucleotides in length. Their secondary structure includes four short double-helical elements and three loops (D, anti-codon, and T loops). Lineage: Eukaryota; Metazoa; Chordata; Mammalia; Rodentia; Sciuridae. The record is from RNAcentral.